AUGCUGCUCGGACUCUUCAAA
This 21-nucleotide microRNA is filed under the name Solanum tuberosum (potato). Its description in RNAcentral is "stu-miR7997b". The record is from miRBase by way of RNAcentral. Lineage: Eukaryota; Viridiplantae; Streptophyta; Magnoliopsida; Solanales; Solanaceae.